CGGGGGGAGCAAGCGUUGUUCGGAUUUACUGGGCGUAAAGGGCGCGUAGGCGGCCACCGCAAGUCGACUGUGAAAUCUCCGGGCUUAACCCGGAAAGGUCAGCCGAUACUGCGGGGCUAGAGUGCAGAAGGGGCAACUGGAAUUCUCGGUGUAGCGGUGAAAUGCGUAGAUAUCGAGAGGAACACCUGCGGCGAAGGCGGGUUGCUGGGCUGACACUGACGCUGAUGCGCGAAAGCUAGGGGAGCGAACGGGAUUAGAUACCCCGGUAGUCCUAGCCUUAAACGAUGAAUGCUUGGUGUCUGGGGUUCUAUAGUCCCCGGGUGCCGUCGCUAACGCUUUAAGCAUUCCGCCUGGGGAGUACGGUCGCAAGACUG
Molecule: ribosomal RNA, 374 nt
Filed under: uncultured organism
Description: bacterial SSU rRNA
Rfam family: Bacterial small subunit ribosomal RNA
Source: RNAcentral